RNAcentral lists this ribosomal RNA (217 nucleotides) under uncultured bacterium. Its description in RNAcentral is "partial 16S ribosomal RNA". It matches the Rfam family "Bacterial small subunit ribosomal RNA", at positions 1283 to 1500 of the family's 1533-position model. The record is from RNAcentral.
GUUACUCAGUUCAGAUUGCAGGCUGCAACCCGCCUGCAUGAAGUCGGAACUGCUAGUAAUCGCGGAUCAGCAUGCCGCGGUGAAUACGUUCCCGGGCCUUGUACACACCGCCCGUCACACCAUGGGAGCCGGUAAUACCCGAAGUCAGUAGUCCAACCUCGUGAGGACGCUGCCGAAGGUAGGAUUGGCGACUGGGGUGAAGUCGUAACAAGGUAUC